UUUAAAUUGACAAUAUUUUUACGAUAUUGCAAAUGUAGGCGGUGAAGAAGAAAAAAAACGCAAAAAGAUAUCAAUACACGAAUAAUGUUUGUAAAAUUAUAAAAGUCAGUGUUUAGCUGUUACCCUGUUUAAAGUAACUUUUCUUGUUAAUACAGGAAAACCAUCAUUAAAGUCAGCUUCAUGAUAACAUAUUUGGAAAACCACAUCAGUUGUGAAAUGUACACGUUAUCUGAUGCAGCAAGAG
This 244-nucleotide long non-coding RNA is filed under the name Mytilus galloprovincialis (Mediterranean mussel). Lineage: Eukaryota; Metazoa; Mollusca; Bivalvia; Mytilida; Mytilidae. The record is from RNAcentral.